Molecule: long non-coding RNA, 497 nt
Organism: Zingiber officinale
Lineage: Eukaryota; Viridiplantae; Streptophyta; Magnoliopsida; Zingiberales; Zingiberaceae
Exons: 3
Source: RefSeq, a predicted model, not a curated record
UCCCCCGACACCAAGCCUUGCGCCCGACGCCUCCGAGCCCUAACCGCCGGAGCACUAACCGCCGGCCGCGACGGUUUCUUCCUCGCCGCCACCCACUUCCUCUUCUUCUCUUCUCUUCCAAGUGCCGGCAACAUUUCCGCCCAGCCGUGCCCUAGAACGAGCGCCGGAGCCGAUCCUUAGCCGCGUCGCUGCCACUCCUUCCCGAUGCCUUCCUCUCCUCUGCCCGACGCCGACGACGCCAGGGAGUAGAGAGUCGACGAUUGAGUGUCUUCUCUUCCCCCUGUGCUCGCAUACCGCCGACCGGCCCAUGCCCUAGCUUCACUGCCCGACGCUUACUUCGAUCGCCGAUGCCCUAGCCGAGCCCUGCUGAAGCUGUGCCCUUGCUCUGCCGCCGGCCACAGAAUAGGGUUUUUAAUCUGCUGCGGCUAAAUUGGUUUUCUGAUCAGUUGAGCGUCAACAGGAGCUUGGGAUUUAGUAACUUUGUGAUCCCCAGCAGC